This is a long non-coding RNA of Ictalurus punctatus (channel catfish), 373 nucleotides long. RefSeq lists it as uncharacterized. The record is from RefSeq and is a predicted model, not a curated record. NCBI's taxonomy places the organism in Eukaryota, Metazoa, Chordata, Actinopteri, Siluriformes, Ictaluridae. The transcript has 4 exons.
GACAGAAAGCGCGCUAGAUACAAGCGCACGCGCCAGAUCUGCACACCUCCAAUACUGCUCAUGCAGAAUGGGAAAAGAAAAAGGAGCGAAUGCCUGCAAUGUGAGAAAGCGCAACCACAAGUGCUCCCAUCUUGAAACUGUGAUACCUUCAUCCUGAGUUCUACACCAUCUAGCCUACAUGCACAAAACAGCUCAAAAUAGCGUGAAAUCCGAAAUAGUCAGGCAAUCACUGCAUGAACAUAAGGAGAAGUCCAUACUCAGUCUGAAUAGUUGAGACAACAUUCCCUGUGGUCUGUGGGGACCUGUUGCGCGCGAACCCCCUGAGGAAUAAGCCGCCAUGAGAGUGGCGCGUGCGGCUCAAUAUCUGUUAAGC